Molecule: long non-coding RNA, 1677 nt
Organism: Armigeres subalbatus
Lineage: Eukaryota; Metazoa; Arthropoda; Insecta; Diptera; Culicidae
Exons: 3
Source: RefSeq, a predicted model, not a curated record
GAUACGAGGGUAUCCGAUGCUGAUCGUUUGGUCUAUAUUUAUUAAAAAUAUGGAUAAGAAUUUCGCGGAUUUUGACGGCGACGGCAAAGGAGAAAAUGGACGGAAUUCACACCACGGGACUGCAUGUGGAUCCAAAAGGCAUUCCUCAAAAUGUGAUUCAAAGUGCCACUUCAAAUCCUGCGCAAAACUAUACCACUAAUUGGGGAGUCGCGAUGUGGUUGCAAUGGCCAUGGCAGGCUGGGGUAAAACCGGGUGCUUUUGGACUCUGCUGUUUGAGAACGACGACCGAUCAAGUUUGGUGUUAGUGUGGUGCGGUGCUGUAGGGAAAGUUUCCGGAUUUUAAAACGUUUCUACCAUCUGCUGCCGGAUGUGAUCGUUUCCACGGCAGGUCGAAGCAGCGGUGCUACACUGUGCGUUUGACGAAGGGGACCGUCUUUUCGAGAUGGGUUUCAGCGAGACGGAGAUCAUGUGGAAGUUGUCCAAAACAAAACAGAUGGCCCUGUUCUCCGUUAGUUGUUGAUCAACUUUGCAAAAGCUGGCUUGAGCGAUCUGACGCUGAUUCGUAAAAUCGAAAAUUCCGGGACAUUGAAUUCGAAAUUCGUUUGUAGGACGGUCUAACGAUAAGCCCGUUUUUGCUCCGUGAGGUGAUUCCGAAGCACUCUCUAACUGUGUUUAACGGCACGCAGCACCCCGUUGAAUUGAUUUCUCUGGCUAAAGAUGGAGUGGCAUCUGUGUUGUAUUAUUUUCGCUCGGUCCAUAACUAAAAGCCAACUACGCAAUCUAAGAAGGGGCCGGUAACCAUCUUCCUGAUUGUUCUUCUCAGCUCACGGCGCAUCUCACCUUCUCAUGUCCAUCAAAGAGCGGACGUGACCGUCUGAAGUCUAAUAAAUCAUCGACUGUCGUGCCGGUUCUAGAUGGCUUGCAUAUUUCAAGUGAUAAGCUGCUCACCUUUUGCCAUGCCGAUUUACCCGAUGGGCGUUUGUGCUCAGGAUUGCUCGCUCCCUCCGACCAUCACAAUUAUUUACGACGCAUAGAUCGAUCAGGGCAACGAGAAAUACGAUAAGUGGCAGCUCCUUAACAUAACCUGCCAAGACUUCCAAUCGGUUUGUGAGUGAUGGUGAUGGAAAUUAAUUUUCUUUGUUCAAAUUCUCUGAAAUAGAACAAAUAAAAAUGAUUGUAUGUGUAAUAUCAAAUAAAAUUAAGCCAUGUCUGAUAAACCGAAAAUACCAAUAUUAAAAACCUUCAUGCAUUGAACAGUUUUACAUCACAUUGAUUUACAUCCCUUUGAUUACGUAGUUGUAUUUAUUACAUCGAGAGAAAUUACAUCGUUUCUGUUUAUUACACAGCGAGCUCUCGAGUACAUCGCGCAGUGUAAUAUUCAACAACCGAUGGAUUCAGUUGGUUGCAGCGAUUUCGAUGUAAUAUUCAACAACUUUUUUUGCUGUGUAGUCUGAUAGUUCGAAAGUUCCUCAAUUUGUCAACUUCGGUUCAGAAGCGCCUGGUGCACAAGCACGAUCUAUAGUUACCAUCCAUAAAUAUUGCGUGAUAGAUGGUUGAGGGGAUGGACUCGACAAGCCUCGUUGGAUAAAAAUACAACUCGUGCUAAAAAAAUAUCCUUUUGCAGCUAAUUGCUUAAAUUACUAUUCUUGUUUUAGUUCAUUUUUUAAAGAUAAAAAU